This 83-nucleotide small nucleolar RNA is filed under the name Tauraco erythrolophus (red-crested turaco). Its description in RNAcentral is "Small nucleolar RNA SNORD72". It matches the Rfam family "Small nucleolar RNA SNORD72". Rfam says of the family: snoRNA HBII-240 belongs to the CD family of snoRNAs. It is the human orthologue of the mouse MBII-240 and is predicted to guide 2'O-ribose methylation of the large 28S rRNA at residue U4590. The record is from Rfam by way of RNAcentral. Lineage: Eukaryota; Metazoa; Chordata; Aves; Musophagiformes; Musophagidae.
CGUUUGUUAAUAAGCGGUUUCUUACUGAAAAUGUCUGAACAUGUGAAUUCCAUAGUGAUUUCAGUGCAUUACUGAGAUAAGCU